CCUACGGGAUGCAGCAGUGAGGAAUAUUGGUCAAUGGACGAGAGUCUGAACCAGCCCAGUAGCGUGAAGGAUGACUGCCCUAUGGGUUGUACACUUCUUUUAUAUGGGAAUAAAACAGGGUAUGCAUACCCUCUUGUAUGUACCAUAUGAAUAAGGAUCGGGUAACUCCGUUCCAGCAGCCGCGGUAAUACGGAGGAUCCGAGCGUUAUCCGGAUUUCUUGGGUUUAAAGGGAGCGUAGGUGGAUUGUUAAGUCAGUUGUGAAAGUUUGCGGCUCAACCGUAAAAUUGCAGUUGAAACUGGCAGUCUUGAGUACAGUAGAGGUGGGCGGAAUUCGUGGUGUAGCGGUGAAAUGCUUAGAUAGCACGAAGAACUCCGAUUGCGAAGGCAGCUCACUGGACUGCAACUGACACUGAUGCUCGAAAGUGUGGGUAUCAAACAGGAUUAGAUACCCUUGUAGUC
Molecule: ribosomal RNA, 460 nt
Filed under: uncultured bacterium
Lineage: Bacteria
Description: partial 16S ribosomal RNA
Rfam family: Bacterial small subunit ribosomal RNA
Source: RNAcentral